RNAcentral lists this ribosomal RNA (615 nucleotides) under Diaporthe longicolla. Its description in RNAcentral is "LSU rRNA". It matches the Rfam family "Eukaryotic large subunit ribosomal RNA", at positions 43 to 683 of the family's 3401-position model. The record is from RNAcentral. Lineage: Eukaryota; Fungi; Ascomycota; Sordariomycetes; Diaporthales; Diaporthaceae.
UCAAUAAGCGGAGGAAAAGAAACCAACAGGGAUUGCCCUAGUAACGGCGAGUGAAGCGGCAACAGCUCAAAUUUGAAAUCUGGCUUCGGCCCGAGUUGUAAUUUGCAGAGGAUGUUUCUGGCGCGGUGCCUUCCGAGUUCCCUGGAACGGGACGCCACAGAGGGUGAGAGCCCCGUAUGGUUGGACACCAAGCCUGUGUGAAACUCCUUCGACGAGUCGAGUAGUUUGGGAAUGCUGCUCUAAAUGGGAGGUAAAUCUCUUCUAAAGCUAAAUACCGGCCAGAGACCGAUAGCGCACAAGUAGAGUGAUCGAAAGAUGAAAAGCACCUUGAAAAGGGGGUUAAAUAGUACGUGAAAUUGUUGAAAGGGAAGCACUUAUGACCAGACUUGGGCCGGGCGGCUCAUCAGGGGUUCUCCCCUGUGCACUCCGCCCGGCACAGGCCAGCAUCGGUUUUCGCGGGGGGAUAAGACCGGCGGGAACGUAGCACCCUCCGGGGUGUGUUAUAGCCCGCCGGACGAUACCCUCGCGGGGACCGAGGUCCGCGCUCCGCAAGGAUGCUGGCGUAAUGGUCAUCAGUGACCCGUCUUGAAACACGGACCAAGGAGUCGUCCAUUA